AUGAAACCCAGGCUGGUGAUUGUUUUAACUCUGAACUGUUGCAAAUCUGUUGUUUCAUCAUAGGUCACACUUGGCUAUGCUCAGAGUUUACUCCUGACUCUGCUCAAAGAUCAUUCUUGGAGUAUCUGCAGGACUAUGUGAAGUAUUCAAGAUGGAACUGGUGUGAAUCUUGUGCAAGGAAACUUCUUAAUUCCGUUGGCAUUCCGACCUUUGUCGAUGAUGAAGAAUCAGGAACAUUGUCUCGUUUGCCAAGGCAUCGAAAAUCAGAUGGGCCAGACACGUAAUGUGAUUUAGAGAUGACCCCUGGACUAGAGCUGCUACCAACUGGAUUCCCCGGGAUGUCAAAAGACCACGUGGCUGCCCACCUACGAGAUGGUCAGAUUUCUUCAUCAAGACCCUGAAUGAAUGGGUUGAGGGUCUUCAUGUUCCUUUGUUUUUUUGACAGGAAAUAACUGAUUUAAUAAAUUAACAUUUAGGGAUAUAUGUUCA
Long non-coding RNA from Sorex araneus (European shrew), 489 nucleotides. RefSeq lists it as uncharacterized. The record is from RefSeq and is a predicted model, not a curated record. Lineage: Eukaryota; Metazoa; Chordata; Mammalia; Eulipotyphla; Soricidae. The transcript is spliced from 3 exons.